GACGAACGCUGGCGGCGUGCUUAACACAUGCAAGUCGAACGGAAAGGCCCUGCUUUUGUGGGGUGCUCGAGUGGCGAACGGGUGAGUAACACGUGAGUAACCUGCCCUUGACUUUGGGAUAACUUCAGGAAACUGGGGCUAAUACCGGAUAGGAGCUCCUGCUGCAUGGUGGGGGUUGGAAAGUUUCGGCGGUUGGGGAUGGACUCGCGGCUUAUCAGCUUGUUGGUGGGGUAGUGGCUUACCAAGGCUUUGACGGGUAGCCGGCCUGAGAGGGUGACCGGCCAAAUUGGGAAUGAGAUACGGCCCAGACUCCUAAGGGAGGCAGCAGUGGGGAAUAUUGCACAAUGGGCGGAAGCCUGAUGCAGCAACGCCGCGUGCGGGAUGACGGCCUUCGGGUUGUAAACCGCUUUCGCCUGUGACGAAGCGUGAGUGACGGUAAUGGGUAAAGAAGCACCGGCUAACUACGUG
RNAcentral lists this ribosomal RNA (468 nucleotides) under uncultured bacterium. RNAcentral's name for it is "partial 16S ribosomal RNA". It matches the Rfam family "Bacterial small subunit ribosomal RNA", at positions 28 to 507 of the family's 1533-position model. The record is from RNAcentral.